Cephus cinctus (wheat stem sawfly) is the source of this 1022-nucleotide long non-coding RNA. RefSeq lists it as uncharacterized. The transcript is spliced from 3 exons. NCBI's taxonomy places the organism in Eukaryota, Metazoa, Arthropoda, Insecta, Hymenoptera, Cephidae. The record is from RefSeq and is a predicted model, not a curated record.
CAAGGCGCUGUCAGACUCAGUCUUGACUGCUCGAGUCAUAAGAAUAACGCGCAAUCUCCGUAGGACGUUCCAAGAAAAGCAACGAAUCUGUAUCGUUAUUGUCACAAGGAAUAUAAUAAUCUUUACGAAGAAUUAUUUUCGUGCAAAAUAAUACAUUUUUAGUGUAACAAGUUUUGCCAUAAGACAAGGCCAUUGUAAAACAACCGCUACGAAAGUCGUUGCAUACCUGAUUAACGUAGUUUACGGCCUAUCGAAGUAUUUCAACGGCUGUCAAAUACCCUGAACGACAUCCCUACGCAAUGUUACAUGAAUUUGUCAGAAAAAGUUCGUAGCAUGGUCGAGGAUUAAAAGAAAGCAAAAAGGGCCUGCGACCGUACCCGUACUGCGUUUCUAUAGGUUUACAUAAAGCGCCUGUUUACUAAUAUAAUUAUAUAAAAUCGUUCCAUCACGUCUGACUAUAUCAACCGGAUUAACAGUCUACAGUACACUUCGGGUAAGUUCGGAAUUUUCAAAUCUAAUCCGAAGACAUCCGAACUGCUUUGUGCCGUUGUUAGACGCAAGAACUAAUGAAUUGCCUUUGCGGUUGACUUUCAGUGCUUUCAUGCUACGAACAUAGGACUUACAAUUUAUGGAAUAAACUCUUCGAUUAAUUAACGAAAAUAGAUUUAACGUCGCGACGGCGUUAUUGAAGUCUCAAGAGUGGUCUAUUGUCCGUACUUUUCCACGCCUCGAGAAAUUCGUAUGCCCGUAUAGAUUUAAAAAAUGGAUACUCCACAUACUGACGUCAUAACGACUACGCCGAAGUUUAUAAAGAAUUUUAUGCUACACUAUGUCGACGCGUAUAUCACUGAACGUCCCCAAGUGUCCCUGCGACGUCGUGACGCAUUCGUCAACCGUUUCCUCAUUAAGGCGCAGCCGCAUCUGUCGUUGACGUCGACGAGAAUCGAGCCACUUAAAGGCUCGUAAUGCAUUAAGCUUGCUUAGACAGCGUCACGUGAGAAUUUUACUUGCACUUACGUAAA